UAAAAACAUCGUGUAAGAAGACACAUCACCAUCCAUCAUCGCGGACAAACUGAGAGGGUCUUUCAGCAGUGAUCCGACCAUUGGCAGGGAACCAAGGGCGCGGAGGAAUGGGGCUUGAAAUCACAGAUGGAGGAAUUUUCUGGAUGACCUAGAGAGGCAGAUAAGAUUGGAAAAAAACACAGAAGAGGAUAAAUGACUAUCAAGCCUGGUUGGAGAAUAGGAAACAUCUGAAUCAAACUGCCAACUGUAUAAAUGGACAACAAUGGAGGCCACUGCGUGAAUCAAUCAAUGCGGAUCCCCGCUGAUCCACUUCCGUCAUAGACAUUGCACCCUAAAGACGUUGGGUGGUGGUGCACUUCAACACAGCUGAAACGCCAUCGCACUGUACACAGAUUGGAAACGACCUCAUCGACCCAAGUAUGAUUGUGAAUUUCCACAAUAAUUUUACACCAGUUGAAUAAGCAAGAUCUCCAGAGACCUCACAUUUUGUAGCUGUGGCAUCAGAGUUCACAUGGACAAUGACACCCAGUAGUCGGAGCACAUCCUUGGACCCGUCUCACAUUCCAGCCAGCAAUUACAACACUAGGCUGACCAAUCCAGACCAAUACACCUCCUCAUCAAGACAAAAGACACCAUUGUUUGCAUACAAGAGAAACGCUCUACAUUGUUGUUUUGCUCCAGUCUUGAUAACAAACUUAACUGGAUAAUUAGAGCAAUUGUCAGUCAUUGCUAACUCUCACGUUAAUGUAAAAGGCAUUGACCAUAGGUCAAGUAGUACGUUUGUUGUCUGAAACAAAUAAGUGGUUGGUAAUACAAGGUUACAUUGUCUUUAUCUUAUUGGUCAUAUUUGUAAGACCCUCCCGUAAAGUGUGUUUACGUGCGUAUGUUUGUAUCAUUUCCCUUGUCACGCGCUUGGCCACUGCCCACCUUUCAUAACCUGAUAACUUUCCAACAAAGCCCCAUCAUAUCUGUUUCAUCAAGUCCCAUUUGAAAAGUAAUAAGAGUCCAAGACUUGUAGUGUAACUGUAUAACAUACAUCCAUUAUUCACACUACAUACAGUAUGUGUUAAUGGCCCGAGAAGGAAUUUUGUGAGUGAAAUGGGGUUUGUAAUUUGGUGUGAAAUGAAAUAUUCACUGUGUAAUGGAAAUGACAUCAAUCCUUCUAAAGUAUCCUCACAUAUACGGUAUUUACUCUUGGAAAAUGCUCCAUCCUGAAUACGAUUUAAGUUAACUUGGUGUUCACUCAUGCGGCCACAAUAACAUAGAAACUCACAAACACUUAACUCUUUCACUGCCUGUGAUAAAUAAAAAGGUCAGACAAAAUAGUCACCAAUGUUUGGGUCAAUGUGAAUGGCUGUUUGGAAAGUGGCCAUAAAUGAUAAAAAUACAGUAAACCAGACAUGUCCCACCUUUGCAGUUGCAUGACAUGGCAUAUUGGACUGUACUGUUGGAAGAUUCCACCCCACCCCCCUUGUGCGGCUAUUUGAGCUGUCUGCGGCAAAGGUUGCUCACCACUGCUGGUGUUCAGCUACC
Syngnathus typhle (broad-nosed pipefish) is the source of this 1533-nucleotide long non-coding RNA. RefSeq lists it as uncharacterized. NCBI's taxonomy places the organism in Eukaryota, Metazoa, Chordata, Actinopteri, Syngnathiformes, Syngnathidae. The record is from RefSeq and is a predicted model, not a curated record. The transcript has 6 exons.